RNAcentral lists this ribosomal RNA (301 nucleotides) under uncultured bacterium. RNAcentral's name for it is "partial 16S ribosomal RNA". It matches the Rfam family "Bacterial small subunit ribosomal RNA", at positions 509 to 807 of the family's 1533-position model. The record is from RNAcentral.
CAGCAGCCGCGGUAAUACGUAGGUGGCAAGCGUUGUCCGGAAUUAUUGGGCGUAAAGGGCUCGCAGGCGGUUUCUUAAGUCUGAUGUGAAAGCCCCCGGCUCAACCGGGGAGGGUCAUUGGAAACUGGGAAACUUGAGUGCAGAAGAGGAGGGUGGAAUUCCACGUGUAGCGGUGAAAUGCGUAGAGAUGUGGAGGAACACCAGUGGCGAAGGCGACUCUCUGGUCUGUAACUGACGCUGAGGAGCGAAAGCGUGGGGAGCGAACAGGAUUAGAUACCCCAGUAGUCCCUGUCUCUUAUAC